Long non-coding RNA from Bos indicus x Bos taurus (hybrid cattle), 1201 nucleotides. The record is from Ensembl. NCBI's taxonomy places the organism in Eukaryota, Metazoa, Chordata, Mammalia, Artiodactyla, Bovidae.
UGCAACUACAUAUCUAUGGUGUGCUGAGUAUUCCGCACAAUUACUUAAUUUAAACUUGACAAUUAUCCCUGUUUUACAGAUUAGCAAACUGAGUCUCAGGAAGGCUAAGUUACAAUAAAGGCACAGAGUAAAUGGCAAUGCCUAUAUUUCACUCUACCACAACACCUUGCUAAUGAAAAUACCUAAGCUCAUCUGAAGUUUAUACUUUAAAAUAUUCUUGUCAAGAAACUCUAUGUCUAGAAUAACAAGUCAUUCCACCACUCCUCCCACUCUCAAGUCCUACCCACUCCACCACACACCUUCCCUCUGACACACACUCACAUCCAUUCCCUACACCCACUUGCCUUCUUCCAAGCCUUCACAGAGCUGUUCCCUCUGCUUAGACUGUCCUACCUUUCUUCCCCACUUAAGAGAACCCCAACCCAUCCUCCCCAAUGGGACAGUGACUUCAAAAUCUUUGCUCCCUCUCCCAAGGAGGAUUAGCUGCGUCCACUCCAGCAUGUGUGAUCAGUUUAUCUUUCUGUCAGAUCGCACAUCCACCACUUGAGAUUGGCAUUUGCCUACCUCUUUGACCACUACUAGAACAUGAACUCCUCAAAAUCAGGGUCUGGAACCUACUUCUGCAUAUCUGUUCAUCUAAGUACUUAGGGAGCGCACAGUGGGAGUUCAAAAAGUGCUUGUUGAAUUCAUGAAUGAAUUUCCUUUUAAAUCAAGGUCGAUAUUUCAUAUGUCCUAGAUUGUGAAUGAAUCAUAUGUACGUAAACACUGUGAAGUAACUGGCUCUUAAAUGAGUUUAAGAAUGACUACGAAGAAAGGCUUCACUCACCCAAACCCAGUUUUUUCAGAGACCUCGCCCGGUUUCAUCUGUUUCAGCCCAGGCACGAGAUGGCCCCGCCUCCCUGCCUGCCAAUCAACCGGCCCUCGCGCCUGCGCAGACAUCGUCCUCUCACGAAGCCCCGCCCCAGUCACCGCCCCGGGACUGUUGCGGGCGGUUAGAUGUGGCGGGAGCUCUUCCUUCAUUAGCUCGCCCACUAUGACGAUCACCUACAGCUGCAUUGCAAAUGGCCGAGCGGUCCUAGCGGAGCUGGCCCUAACCGGCGGGUCUUAUCAGGAAGCAGCAGCAGCAGUGCUUAAGCUAGUACUUCUUAGAGCUGAACCAAAGACCAUGAUUCAAAUGGGAAGGUUAGUGAGACUUUUCUGA